UGUCAGCCAAAGUUGUAACUCCGCUC
Molecule: non-coding RNA, 26 nt
Filed under: Mus musculus (house mouse)
Lineage: Eukaryota; Metazoa; Chordata; Mammalia; Rodentia; Muridae
Source: RNAcentral